RNAcentral lists this ribosomal RNA (496 nucleotides) under uncultured bacterium. Its description in RNAcentral is "partial 16S ribosomal RNA". It matches the Rfam family "Bacterial small subunit ribosomal RNA", at positions 30 to 523 of the family's 1533-position model. The record is from RNAcentral.
AUUGAACGCUGGCGGAAUGCUUUACACAUGCAAGUCGAACGGUAGAGGGGGUAACUCCUCGAGAGUGGCGAACGGGUGAGUAAUAUAUCGGAACGUGCCCAGUCGUGGGGGAUAACGUAGCGAAAGUUACGCUAAUACCGCAUACGAUCUAAGGAUGAAAGCGGGGGAUCGCAAGACCUCGCGCGAUUGGAGACGCCGCUAUCGGAUUAGGUAGGGGGUGGGGUAAAGGCUCACCAAGCCAACGAUCUGUAGCUGGUCUGAGAGAACGACCAGCCACACUGGAACUGAGACACGGUCCAGACUCCUACGGGAGGCAGCAGUGGGGAAUUUUGGACAAUGGACGCAAGUCUGAUCCAGCCAUUCCGCGUGCAGGAUGAAGGCCCUCGGGUUGUAGACUGCUUUUGUACGGAACGAAAAGGUCUCUCUUAAUACGAGGGGCUCAUGACGGUACCGUAAGAAUAAGCACCGGCUAACUACGUGCCAGCCGCCGCCGUAA